UGAGGAAUAUUGGUCAAUGGGCGGAAGCCUGAACCAGCCAAGUAGCGUGCAGGAUGACGGCCCUACGGGUUGUAAACUGCUUUUAGGCGGGGGUAAAGGGGCGGACGUGUUCCGCCUUUGCAAGUACCGCCAGAAAAAGGACCGGCUAAUUCCGUGCCAGCAGCCGCGGUAAUACGGAAGGUCCGGGCGUUAUCCGGAUUUAUUGGGUUUAAAGGGAGCGUAGGCGGGCUAUUAAGUCAGCUGUGAAAUCCGGCGGCUCAACCGUCGGCCUGCAGUUGAUACUGGUGGCCUUGAGUGCGCGCAGGGGGCGUUGGAAU
RNAcentral lists this ribosomal RNA (317 nucleotides) under uncultured Prevotellaceae bacterium. RNAcentral's name for it is "bacterial SSU rRNA". It matches the Rfam family "Bacterial small subunit ribosomal RNA", at positions 355 to 667 of the family's 1533-position model. The record is from RNAcentral. Lineage: Bacteria; Pseudomonadati; Bacteroidota; Bacteroidia; Bacteroidales; Prevotellaceae.